RNAcentral lists this long non-coding RNA (1875 nucleotides) under Homo sapiens (human). Its description in RNAcentral is "non-protein coding lnc-CCDC93-4:1". Lineage: Eukaryota; Metazoa; Chordata; Mammalia; Primates; Hominidae. The record is from RNAcentral.
UAGAUUUGGUCUUUUCACAUAGUCCCAUAUUUCUUGGAGACUUUGGUCAUUUCUUUUUAUUCUUUUUUCUCCAACCCAGCAGGUGAGUUUGAGGAACAUGAAGGAGACCUGUGUGGGGAGCCACUGGAGGGUUUUUGAGAAGGAAAGCAAUGUGAUCUGGGUUCAUUUUUGUUUGUUUGUUUGUUUGCUUUGGGAGGCUGAGGAGGGGAGAUCGCUUGAGCCCAGGAGUUCAAGACCAGCCUGGGCAAUAUGGCGAAACCCCGUCUUUACUAUAAAUACAAAAAAUUAGCCAGGCAUGGUGGAGCACACCUGUAGUCCCAGCUACUCGGGAGGCAGAGGUGGGAGGAUGGGUUGAGCCUGGGAAGUCGAGGCUGCAGGGAGCCAACAACUCCUCUUAGAUUUGUCAGAGAAGUGAGCUCACAGGGCUAAAUGCUGCUCCAAAAAUGGUCAGGUGAAUAUAGAGCAUCACAGCUUACUAGAGCAAAAACCCACAACCAGAAACUUCUGCAGGAAGCAGUGCUGGGGUAAGAAAACAUAAGCUCUAAUUGACAAAUUGCUGGAGGCUCAGUGUGGAAAAAUCUAACAGUUAAAAAAUCCAGGAAGACUUAGUCAUGGAAGGGGGUAGAGGGUAGAGGUGUACCAUUUAUGUUUUAUUAUCUCCAGGGUCUCUAUCAGGUCCUCACAGUGAAUACUGGAGAAAAGUCACCUUGUGCUUUUGGCAAGGGGAAGGGAAAAGAAUCCAUUUUGAACUAUGCCAAACCAUUCUGUUCUUAAUAUGGCUUACUAUCAUGAGAAUUAACUUACCAGAGCCUAACCUGAGGGCUUUUAUCAGAGCCCAAUCUACCUGGAGGAAGGGAAAUAUCUACCUCCAGUCCCUGUAGCCAUCCCGCCCCACCUAAGGGGGAAGUAGGACUGAGAAGCACUAGUGAAGUUUACAGUCCAGGCACAGAGGCUAAAAAAUAGCUGAGACCUAAUCACAGGGCUACAGAACAAUUCCCCUUCUCCCAUACCUCACCACCAUAUUAACUAAAGGCCCAUCUACCACAGUUCCUUUUAUCCAGCGCAUCAUGCCUACCUUUCAACAAAAAAUUACAAAGCACACUAAAAGGCAAAAAACACAGUUUGAAAAGACUGAACAAGCAAGAAACCAGAGUCAUAGAUGGCCAUGAUGUGAGAAUUAUCAGGCAAGGAAUUUUUUUUUAAUUAUACUUUAAGUUUUAGGGUACAUGUGCACAAUGUGCAGGUUAGUUACAUAUGUUGUGCUGCACCCAUUAACUCGUCAUUUAGCAUUAGGUGUAUCUCCUCAUGCUAUCCUUUCCCCCACCCCACAACAGUUCCCAGAGUGUGAUGUUCCCCUUCAUGUGUCCAUGUGUUCUCAUUGUUCAAUUCCCACCUAUGAGUGAGAAUAUGCAGUGUUUGGUUUUUUGUUCUUGCGAUAAUUUACUGAGAAUGAUGGUUUCCAGUUUCAUCCAUGUCCCUACAAAGAGGGAUGAAACCCACUUGAUCAUGGUGGAUAAGCUUAUUGAUGUGCUGCUGGAUUUAGUUUGCCAGUAUUUUAUUGAGGAUUUUUGCAUCAAUGUUCAUCAAGGAUAUUGGUCUAAAAUUCUCUUUUUUUGUUGUGUCUCUGCCCAGCUUUGCUAUCAGGAUGAUGCUGGCCUCAUAAAAUGAGUUAGGGAGGAUUCCCUCUUUUUCUAUUGAUUGGAAUAGUUUCAGAAGGAAUGGUACCAAUUCCUCCUUGUACCUCUGGUAGAAUUCGACUGUGAAUCCAUCUGGUCCUGGACUCUUUUUGGUUGGUAAGCUAUUGAUUAUUGCCACAAUUUCAGAGCCUGUUAUUGGUCUAUUCAGAGAUUCAACUUCUUCCUGGUUUAGUCUUGG